CGAAUCCUGAAAUGUUCGGAUAAACCUAUUAUUUUGAACCUACAUUUCUAAUACGGGAAUCCUUGUUUGUGCGGGAGAAACCAGGCCCCAAUUAAAUUCCGACAUAUGCCGCAAAGCAUGUGCGACGGCGGGGGAAGGUUGAGAUCAGCCAGCGGGAUGCCCACCUAGCUGAGGGCUAGGUGUCAAAAUAUAGGGGAACGGCAUUUUGGGAUGCAU
This 216-nucleotide non-coding RNA is filed under the name Clostridiales bacterium. RNAcentral's name for it is "6S RNA". It matches the Rfam family "6S / SsrS RNA". From Rfam's summary of the family: E. coli 6S RNA was the first non coding RNA to be sequenced, but its function was unknown until recently. It consists of 184 nucleotides that fold into an extended hairpin structure with a large single-stranded internal bulge. The 6S RNA specifically associates with RNA polymerase holoenzyme containing the sigma70 specificity factor. Lineage: Bacteria; Bacillati; Bacillota; Clostridia; Eubacteriales. The record is from RNAcentral.